Molecule: ribosomal RNA, 497 nt
Filed under: uncultured bacterium
Lineage: Bacteria
Description: partial 16S ribosomal RNA
Rfam family: Bacterial small subunit ribosomal RNA
Source: RNAcentral
GAUGAACGCUGGCGGCGUGCCUAAUACAUGCAAGUCGAGCGAACGGACGAGAAGCUUGCUUCUCUGAUGUUAGCGGCGGACGGGUGAGUAACACGUGGAUAACCUACCUAUAAGACUGGGAUAACUUCGGGAAGCCGGAGCUAAUACCGGAUGAUAUUUUGAACCGCAUGGUUCAAAAGUGAAAGACGGUCUUGCUGUCACUUAUAGAUGGAUCCGCGCUGCAUUAGCUAGUUGGUAAGGUAACGGCUUACCAAGGCAACGAUGCAUAGCCGACCUGAGAGGGUGAUCGCCCACCCGGGAACGGACACACGGCCAAGCCUCAGACGGGAGGCACAAGAGGGGAUUCUUCCGCAGGGGGCGAAGGCCUGACGGGGCACCGCCGGGGGGGGGAGAAAGGUUUUGGUAUCGAAAAACUUUUUUAUGGGGGAAAAAAAUAUGUGAAAUAAAUGUUGCAAUUCUGGAGGUUCCCUAAUAAAAAAACCACGCCUACCUCCGUG